UACGGAGGGUGCGAGCGUUGUUCGGAAUCACUGGGCGUAAAGGGCGUGUAGGCGGUCCGUUAAGUCUGAUGUGAAAGCCCGGGGCUCACCCCCGGAAGGGCAUUGGAAACUGGCGGACUCGAGUCCCGGAGAGGAGAGUGGAAUUCCUGGUGUAGCGGUGGAAUGCGUAGAGAUCCGGAGGAAGACCGGUGGCGAAGGCGGUCUGCUGGGCAGUUUCUGACACUGAUGCGCGACAGCGUGGGGAGCAAACAGG
Molecule: ribosomal RNA, 253 nt
Filed under: uncultured bacterium
Lineage: Bacteria
Description: partial 16S ribosomal RNA
Rfam family: Bacterial small subunit ribosomal RNA
Source: RNAcentral